AUCUAAAAGUAUUUAACAAACACCGAAAGUAUUCCUCAAGCGAAAUAUUAUAAAUGCUUCCAUUACUAAAAAAUAUCAACUACAUACUACACUAUACUUCAUUGUAUUUGCAAGUAUAUACAUAUGACCAAAAACACAAAAUAUUCACUGCCCGCCUUCAAUCUCUUCCUUGGUGGACGUCAUCGUUUAAGAAUAUUGUCCCUAUUAUUAAGAAAAACACAUGAUCACUUUGACAAUUCUCAUAAUGUAAUGCUUAAUAGAAAAGAGGGUGACAUAAAGCACAUAAGACUAAAUCAAUGAAAAUAGUUUCAGCAUAUUCAAAGAUAAAUCUUAGCAACACUAUAAAGAAAGUUUCAAUACUCCCAAACCUAAAUUAGUAAAUCUUUUGUUAUCACAUGGCACACGUAAUCCAGGGGUUCAAUGAGAACUCUUUUAAGCUUCAUCAUCAAUUUAGCAGUUCAAUCAUGCAAUAACAUGUGAAAGUAUAGCAAACUUAAUAAAGAAAUUGAUUUGAUAAACACCCCAAACAACAUAACUAAGAAUAAAGCAAUAAAAAAGAGCACUGAAUUUUCUUAAGAUAGUAUUGUGCACAAAUAAAUAGCCAGCAAUUCUUACAAGAGUUCUCUUAAAGUGAAAGCAAUGAGUUAACAAGUUACUUUUAUCCAUCUGCACCCAAAUUUACCCAGAUCAAUUGCAUAGGUAUCAUAGCACUAUGGUAUCCAGAGGCCAGGAGGAAGCAUAUAGAAUUUUCUUUACCUUAAUAUGUUGAAAAUGUAGAUAAACGUAAUGAUAAAAGUGAUAUAGACUAAUCUUCCCAACCUUCGAUCAUAUCCAAAGUUCACCAGGAAACAGGCAAAAAGUUGCAAAACAAACAAGUAAGCUGCCACAUUAGACUAGACUAUGCGUAAAACACAACUACUGAUAUCCCUACCAAACAACCAUCUCAAAACAUCCAUAUCCUCUUCAAAAUAAAAAUAGCAAUACAACUUUUACCUAACAGAAUCAUUUAAUGAUCAGGUUAAAUCACAUUGUAACAUUCUAACUGCAUUUAUAAGCAUUUAUAACUUGGUAGUAAACUGGGAGUUUGGCAAAUUUGUAGGUUUAGGAAAAUCAACAACUAUAUGUUAAAUUGAAGCUAUAUUUAGCAAUAGGCAGUGAUUAAAGCUAGAUUCAUUAAAGAAGUUGAUAUAAAGGUUAAUUAUCUGGAUUAAGUCUCUUAAAUAGGACACAAAUUCAGCAAUAUCAUUUCUUUUGCAAUUUCCACACUUUAUAAGAAUCCUAGAAACCGUUCCUCAACUAGUCUCCUCUUACACCAAUGCUUAACUGGAACAAGGUGUUCAUACACCCUUUACAAGGAUAUGGAAUCAUAAUGCUCACCCUUGGUUGACUGAACACCCGAUUGAGAAGGCCGCCGACUCCAUCUCUAUACCUUUGCCAAUUCUAUUCCUAAUAUUCAACCAACUUUUAUUCAUUCCUAUUUUUUUUAAAAGGCAAUCAGUUAAUUAAUUCAAAGAACAAAGACAACAAUAACAAAAUUUUAUAAGGGCCGGAACCUAGACACAUUUUUGAACUAGUAAGACUAACCAAUAUUAAAGUUAUGUUUCAAGUAUGCUAAACAAAACUUGACAACAAUAAACACAUGCAAAAAAUGAAACCAAAUCAUACAACUUGAAUCAUAACUGAGAUGAUUUCAAAUUAUGCAGAAAUAAAAAACUAUUAGAAAAAUAACUUAAAGACGUCGAUUGAACAAUCAGAAGAUGACAAGAUUUGAAGCAUUAGUAUGCUCUGGUAAGAACAGACGUGAGUGGCGAUGGUGGAUGUUCAGAGAAGGGGAAGACUAUUACCUCCUCCUCCACCUAGAAGCCCACUUGGUCCACCUCCCACUAGAUUUUCUCCCCGCCUCAAUCCAGUCGAUCAUGAGAAGACUUGUCCUCCGUUACUUCGUGUUUUCAAUAAGAAUAGAAGCCAUCAUAGUGGCAAUGAUUGCUGUGAGAGGCAAGCAAUCCAAAGAUGAGGGCAAAAUCUACACAUGGAAGGAUGGUACUUUGGUUUGCCAUUACAGCUAAACACAUUAAAGAACCAUAUCAGUACUCCAAUACAAUCAAAUAAUUUCUAAAUGGAAAGGAUAAAACACAAAUAAGGCAUUCACCACCAAUAUAAAUGUUAAGAUUUUUUUAUAGCAUUCGAAUCCUUGAACUGUUUUAAAACUAACUAAAUUCUGCAGCUCUAUUAGCUACAGGAAGAAAGCUUACAGAUGAUAUGAAAAUAGAACACGAACAAGACCAAAAUUAUAGGAAAAUGAACUCAAAUAAGACCAACAAUACAAGAUACCAAAACUAUCCAAACCAUAAAAUGAUUCCUAAGGACAAGAUCUUUGAGUUGUAUAAGGCUAGAAAUACGACAUGAAUUAAGAGAAAAAUAUGUUCACCAGACAAUAUAACAACAAAAUCAUCUCUAGUCGUGACUUUUAGAUGGAAAAUAGGACCCAAAAUCCAUAUCACUAAACCACCAAGUCAGACAUGGGUUAAUUUUUUUACCCAGCAUACAGUCACAAUAACAACACCAAAAGGUAUAAGAUAUCAAAAGAGAAAGUUUCAGAUUACGGAGAUACCAAAAUUUCGCUGACUCCUCACCGCCGAUAAGGGCUUCAAACAAGACAUUGCUCCUGUAGAUUUUCAAAUGGGUCUGAGAAAUUGGAGGUGGAACCUGAAUAUACAAAUGUGAAAUGAGUGAUUUGAGAAAACAACAUGUACCACCGAAGAAGAUUUGUGAUUUGAGCUUUUGAGUCUCUAACAUACCUGAAAAAGUCAC
Molecule: long non-coding RNA, 2811 nt
Filed under: Nicotiana tabacum (common tobacco)
Lineage: Eukaryota; Viridiplantae; Streptophyta; Magnoliopsida; Solanales; Solanaceae
Description: long non-coding RNA (NTAB_LNC016126)
Source: RNAcentral